RNAcentral lists this long non-coding RNA (5304 nucleotides) under Aquilegia coerulea. RNAcentral describes it as "long non-coding RNA (ACOE_LNC000602)". The record is from RNAcentral. Lineage: Eukaryota; Viridiplantae; Streptophyta; Magnoliopsida; Ranunculales; Ranunculaceae.
AAAAACCACGGACACCUAUUUGCCAACAAGGUCUUAUAUCCACCGUUGAUCUUUGUAUUUUUUCAUCGAUAUCACCGACUUAUUUGAUAAUUUUUUUCAAUAAAUAUGGGUUCCUUCAGCAACUUCUUUCGUCUCUCAUCUUCUUCCUUCUCUUGGUUUUAGUUUUGUGUUUCUUUCUCAGAUCUGUUUCGACGUUCUUCUCCGUUGCGAUUUUCUUCAACAGAGUUUUAUUUAUAUUUAGGCGAUCUAUCUGUUCAUAUUGGUUUUUCUUUCUUAAACUAUUUUUAUUCUGUUUUAUUCCUAAUGUUUUCUUUUGGAUCUGGUUUUUUAAUUGAUGUUUUCUGAAUCAAUUUUUUCAUCUGCAGAGGGUUUUUUUAUAGAUCUAGAACACAAAUCUCGUUAUCAACCUUUCAUCUUUAUCGCAUUCGUUGGGUUUGGAUGUUUCAAACUAUUAAACUUUUAUUUCAUUAUAUUAGUUACACUCCAGAUCUGGUUUUAAUUAGAAACCUCAAUUCUUGGUCAGAUUUACAGCGUUGUCGGUGAUUUGGAAUAUCAAGAUUUUGGAACGGGGGGUUUUGAGUUUGAUGUUUUCGAUUUAUUUUCUUAUGAAGUUUAUUUAGCUUUUACGUCAGAUCUGGUUUUAAUUGAUAAACUCGAUUCUUGGUCAGAUUUAGAGGCGUUCGUUGCUUUGGAUAUCAAAGAUUUUGGAUCAGGGGGUUUUGAGUUUCAUGAUUCUGAUUCACUUGACUUUUAUUUUCUUAUGAAGUUGCUUGUCCGGUUUUGAUUGAAAACCCCAAUUCUUGGUCAGGUUUAGGGAUGCUGUUGGUUUGCAUAUGAAGAAUUUGGAUCUUGGGGUUCACGGGUUCAUGAGUUUGAUGUUUCACAUACCCUUUUGUUGAGUUUAUCAUUUUCUAGUAUAUUACAGUCAGAUCUGGUAUUGAUUUGUAGCUUCAAUUCUUGGUCAGAUUUUGAGAUUCUUGGUUUGGUUUAGAGCGGCAAUGAUUGGAUAUUAAGAAUUGUGAUCAGAAGGGGUUCAGGAGUUUGUUUAAUCAGAUUUAUUUAAUUAUAUCAUUUAAGUUUCUAGUCUAAUAUGGUCAGAUCUGGUAUUGAUUCGAAGCUUCAAUUCUUGGUCAGAUUUAGAAGCGAGAGCAGUUGAUGAUUCGGUAGUGAGAGUUUGGAUCCUGUUUUCAGCCCGAGUCUUUGGUUAAGGAGAUGUUUAAUCAAAUUCUCUUGUUUUAUUAUAUCCUUAUGUUUUUGGUUUAUUGCGGUCAAAUCUGGUUUUGAUAGAAAGCCUCAAUUCUUGGUCAGAUUAAGAGCGCUGUUGGUGGUUCUCUCUGGUUAGGCGUGGUACACAGAAGCAGCUGCUUAUCCGGUGAAUUGGUCACAACUUUUGUAUGUGUGUUUUUGUAUUGGUUUAUGUUUGUUUUCUUUGCAGGUUUCUUUGUUUUGAUCUUUAGGUUGAGAUGAAGGAUUAUUACUGAAGAUAUGUUGUGUGAUUUGUGGUGGAGCUGAUUACUCCUUGGAUCAGCUGAUGGAGGAAAGCUGUGUGCCCUAAACUAUUUGGUGAGAUUUUAAAUGGAUCUAGGCUGUAGACAGUGUUACUGUGAUCAAUAUGUUGGUAGUGCUAGCAUUAAGGAUGUAGUAUGGUGUAGAAGAGAUCAAUACAGAUCCCUUAAUGUUAAGGGGAUGUAUUGAACACUCUUUGUCAUCUGACCUUUGCCAUGUCGGGUGCGCUUGCUUGGCAGGUCAAAAACCUUAAUAAAAAGAUCAUAUUUUUUGGUUGGGGGGAGAUCGCACGGGGAUUUUGCCCGGGAUCUUCCCCAGGUGUGUGUGUGUUGUGCCUUUCUGCCUUUUAUUCCAAUCAUCAAAUACCUACAUGCAACUGCAAUUGCACUUGGAUUGAAGAAGGUAACACUACCACACAUAAAGCACCGUAUUCAAAGCUCUAUUCUUAGAUAAUUUGGUGAUGUUCUCAGCCGGCCCCAAUUGGUCAAUUUGGAUGCAUAUCUCCAACAUGCAAGGUACACAUUUAACUUUCAGUUUCUAUAUUGACACAUGCUUUACAUAAUUUAUUAUCCUGCACUAUACACAUGAUAACACUCCAUGAACAUGAGUUUAGGCCAACCCAUAAGUAGUUCACAAUCUUUGAACCAGAUAAUAUUCACAUAGUAUUGCUGAUUCUGAUUGUAGAGGAUAUUCAUGACAAAGCUCAGGAUUUUCAGUUUAGUUAUGUUUUGGUGUUUUCAACUAGUGAAACUAUCUCAUUGUUUAUUUUUGAAAAUCAUAUUUUGAAAAGUAUGUUAAUAAUUUGAUGAUAUUUCCAUGGUAUAUUUUAUGAAAUUCGAUCGGAUACGAAACAAAAAAAUCUACAUAAUUUUGCUAGUGUUAAACCAGUUUUUGAAAAUGCCAAUACUUUUUAAUACUAUAAGCUGCACGUAUAUUUAGCUUUUCACACCUCAAAACGGAGUAUUUUAAAAAAUAUUCAUCAUCAUGUCUACUUCAAUAAAUCUAUGAUUUUUAUAGAAAGUAAAUGUUUCUUUGUUUACUUGGAUGGAAAAGCCCACCUUUGAACAAGAGUCUUGCUUUAAAAUAUCAAUGAUAUAUUGAUGAUAUAUUGCUCUUAGCUGUCACAUUGCCAUGUGAUUCGAAGUUAAUGGUUGUAUAUUGUCAAUAUUUUGUGAAUGGCGAAUACUUAAUGUUUGCUCAACAUUUUAGAACACUAUAUUUGAUUGUACUAAUUGAUUUAAAUUGGAAGUAUGGUUAUAUCACUUUUAGUAUGAGGAAUCGCAAAUAACAUUAAUUCAGGAGUAAGGUUCUGUUGGUACUUGAAAAGAGGUAACACCCUUCUAUCAUAUCACUGAAGGCAAAUAUUUUAGGAAAUGGUUUGUGCAUAAAAAGGUUGUAAUUAUUUGUUUGAAAGAUCUCCAAGGUUUGCACUCACUAACCUCCAUAGCCUGCAAUCUCUACACUCCAUAACCUGCAAUCAUUAGGAAAAUGCAGUAUCACAUUCUGUUGAGCUGUCAAGUACAUAACUCCAUUUGUUUCAAGUGUCAGUGCCACCAAUUUAAGUUCUUUUCAAGUUAUUUACAAUUUACUUGUCAUAUUUUGAAGUUUAAAGUUUAUUGUGAAAUUCGCACUAGAAUUUUUUUUUGCCAAAUAAUGGCUGUGCACACUUGGUUUAUGUUUCGAUUUGAGUGGGUUAUGUUCAAAAGAGUGUACAUGUUGUAAAUCAGUCAAAAGUGAGAUAUUGCAUUGUAAUACUUCCAAAAGUGUAACAUGUAGUUAUGGCGGAGUUGUGUUUUAGCACUUUUUGAGGGUCUCUGCUGGACUGGAUGUUCUUGAUAUCACAAAAACAAGUCUAAAGAGGUGCAAAUGUUAUAGUCCCUCUUGAUUAAAGGAGUUCAAAAAGGUUAUUUGGUUGGAAGAUGAGAUGCGGCAAAGGGAAGAAGGUUACUUGGUUUGAUGAUGAGAUGCGGCAAAGGAGCUGAAGCGAUGCCGAGAUAUCUGCUUUAUAAUCAGAGGUAAACAUAUUUUUACUAUAUCUUUGUAGUUUGUAGGGACAUCACUUAACGUUUGCUUGGCAGUGUCACUUAUUUUGUAUCACUGAGUCUGAUAUUUGCAGUCUGCUAUAUUUUUCUGCAGUUUUGGAUUGGUUUAAAGACGAGAUGCUUCAAAGGAGCUGAAAGGAUGCCAAUGUAAGCAUAGUUUUAGUAUAUCUUAAUUCUUAAUUCGGUUUCCAUAAUACCUUUUUGUAGCUUUUUCUCUGCGUAUCACGAUAUUAUUUUUUGUAGUUUGUAAGGACAACACUGAAUUUUUGCUUGUCAGUUUGGUUAUUUUGUAUCACUGAGUCCGACUUUUGCAAUCUGCUAGAUUUUUCUGCAGUUUUGGAUAUUCUCUUUCCUGGCGGAUGUUGUUAAGUGUUCCUUGGGUUGAAGUUCUCUGGUUAAUGAAGAGCUGAUAAUUUGUACAACAUUUAUAAAGGUAGAAGUUUGGUUUUGGCGGGUGCAACUCUACUGUGAAUAGAGUUUUCAGUGAAAGCUUCAUAAUAAGAAAUUGGUUGGAAGGUUUUUGCCACUUGUUGGAGGAAAGAACUGGAAAAUGAAAAUAAGUCUUUAAGAGGUACUUGUACAACCAUUGUCAACAAGCCAGCAUUGGUGAAAGGAGGUAUAAUGACAUUUCAUGUGUGGUCUUUGUACUUGAUUUACAAUUCUUCGGAAUUAUCGGCAUCACUAAAUUUGAAUUUCAGGCAGGUUUUGACUUCCGUGCUUUCUCUAUAUAGUACAGGGUUUAUACUGAAUUUUUGUUUCAUUUGAUUUGAUAUGAUAUGGUUCAAAUCUACGUAAUAUUUUUAGUGGAAUGAUGUAGAUGGUAAUAUUUUUGUUUUUGGCAUUGAAUACAGUUUUGCUUUUUAAAUUUGUUUUGUAUCUUGCCACCGUAUGAUCAACGUAUUUAAGCAUGGUUUGAUAUGGAGAUUGGUCUUAUGGCUUACAACUCGAUGAAUUACGAGUUAUUAUAUCUUGACAGAAUCCUGAGAAGCUAGCAAAUCCGAAAGGUAAUCUGAGGGGCACAAAAUAUCUGCUCUAGCUGUUUAAACAGCUUCUCAAAUCUGCUGGGUGGGAAUGUUUAUAGUCCGGCAAGACUUCUGUAAUUCUGUGUAAUGCUUGUUAAUGUAUGGAGGUAAAUGGGAAUAGUGUCAACUACUGAAAUUUAGUUUAUAGGUUAAUAUUUCAAUUUUGUUGAUUCUUGAGCUGUUAUUGUCUGUACCCAAAUUAAGACUUCCAUCUCAUUUGCUAUAUGGAUUUUCUUACCCUCCAAUCCCACAGUUUUGUUGAGCCUUUAGUUCUGUUGCAGUUCUUGUCUGUGCCUGCUAAAGUAAAACUUAUCUCUUAAUGCACUUUGGAAUUUCUUCUCAGUCAAUCCCACAUUUGAUGGGGUACGAAUGUAGGAUAAGUAUAAGUUGAAUCGCAUGCCAAAGGGGGGACAAAGGGUGGAAAUUUUUAACUUUGAAUUUUUAUAACAAGGUGAACUAUAAAAUUAUUAUUACUAGAAGUGGUGUUUUAUAGUGUGAAGGGAUUUAAUUGUUAAUUCAGUGUGAAUCUUUUUGAAGCUAUUUUUUUGGAAGUAGACCGAAAUUAUUUGUUGUAAAUCAGAGUAUAAUAUCCACUAGCCAACCUUAUUAUUAAAUUUAAUUGUUUGUCAAAUUUAAUUUUGAAACUGAUUAUAUUUUAUAAUUUGGACUGAUAGUUUUAAUGAUUUUUUAGUAGGUCCAUUAAUGUUAAUAUUAUCUGUGAAUUUUCUUUGGUG